CUUAAAUUAUUAAUAGAUAUAGUCUUUAAACUUGAAGAAUUUGGCGGUGGUUUAGUCUUGUUAGAGGAACCUGUUCUUGGAUCGAUAUGCCACGUAGAAUUUUACUCAUUUUAUUAGUUUGUAUACCGUCAUUAUCAGAUAAUUUAUAGAGAAUGAAUUAUUGAAAUUUCUUAAUUAUAAAUAAAAUUAGAUCAAGGUGCAGCUUAUAAAUGAGCUAGAAUGGGUUACAAUAAAAUUUAUUUAUACGGAGUAAUAAUAGGAAGAUUAUGUUAUGAAAGCGGAUUUAAUUGUAACAAAGAUUUAAUAAGUCUUAAAGAUAUUAGCACUAAGCCAU
RNAcentral lists this ribosomal RNA (334 nucleotides) under Soliella flava. RNAcentral's name for it is "partial 12S ribosomal RNA". The record is from RNAcentral. Lineage: Eukaryota; Metazoa; Arthropoda; Malacostraca; Decapoda; Xanthidae.